RNAcentral lists this small nuclear RNA (23 nucleotides) under Arabidopsis thaliana (thale cress). RNAcentral's name for it is "snRNA_17367". The record is from RNAcentral. Lineage: Eukaryota; Viridiplantae; Streptophyta; Magnoliopsida; Brassicales; Brassicaceae.
UCGAGCUGCUUCCGCGGCGAGAG